This 253-nucleotide ribosomal RNA is filed under the name uncultured bacterium. RNAcentral's name for it is "partial 16S ribosomal RNA". It matches the Rfam family "Bacterial small subunit ribosomal RNA", at positions 524 to 776 of the family's 1533-position model. The record is from RNAcentral.
UACGGAGGGUGCGAGCGUUGUCCGGAAUCAUUGGGCGUAAAGGGCGCGUAGGUGGCCCGGUCAGUUCGUGGUGAAAGCGCGGGGCUCAACCCUGGGAUGCGGGUGGAUACUGCCGGGCUCGAGUCCGGAAGAGGCGAGUGGAAUUCCCGGUGUAGCGGUGAAAUGCGCAGAUAUCGGGAGGAACACCAAUGGCGAAGGCAGCUCGCUGGGACGUGACUGACGCUGAGACGCGAAAGCGUGGGGAGCAAACAGG